RNAcentral lists this ribosomal RNA (252 nucleotides) under uncultured bacterium. RNAcentral describes it as "partial 16S ribosomal RNA". It matches the Rfam family "Bacterial small subunit ribosomal RNA", at positions 100 to 354 of the family's 1533-position model. The record is from RNAcentral.
CGGGGUGAGUAACGCGUGGGCAACCUGCCUUAUACAGGGGGAUAACAGCUGGAAACAGCUGCUAAUACCGCAUAAGCGCACAGCGGCGCAUGACGCAGUGUGAAAAACUGAGGUGGUAUAAGAUGGGCCCGCGUCUGAUUAGCUGGUUGGGAGGGUAACGGCCUACCAAGGCGACGAUCAGUAGCCGGCCUGAGAGGGCGGACGGCCACAUUGGGACUGAGACACGGCCCAGACUCCUACGGAAGGCAGCAG